GGAUAACCUACCCUUAGGACUGGGAUAACCCUGGGAAACUGGGGAUAAUACUAGAUAGGCAAUUUUUCCUGGAAUGGUUUUUUGUUUAAAUGUUUUUUCGCCUAAGGAUGGGUCUGCGGCCGAUUAGGUAGUUGGUUAGGUAACGGCUUACCAAGCCAUUGAUCGGUACGGGUUGUGAGAGCAAGAGCCCGGAGAUGGAACCUGAGACAAGGUUCCAGGCCCUACGGGGUGCAGCAGGCGCGAAACCUCCGCAAUGUGAGAAAUCGCGACGGGGGGAUCCCAAGUGCCAUUCUUAACGGGAUGGCUUUUCAUUAGUGUAAAGAGCUUUUGGAAUAAGGGCUGGGCAAGACCGGUGCCAGCCGCCGCGGUAACACCGGCAGCUCUAGUGGUAGCAGUUUUUAUUGGGCCUAAAGCGUCCGUAGCCGGUUUAAUAAGUCUCUGGUGAAAUCCUGUAGCUUAACUGUGGGAAUUGCUGGAGAUACUAUUAGACUUGAGACCGGGAGAGGUUAGAGGUACUCCCAGGGUAGAGGUGAAAUUCUGUAAUCCUGGGAGGACCGCCUGUUGCGAAGGCGUCUAACUGGAACGGUUCUGACGGUGAGGGACGAAAGUUAGGGGCGCGAACCGGAUUAGAUACCCGGGUAGUCCUAACUGUAAACGAUGCGGACUUGGUGUUGGGGGUGGCUUUGAGCUGCUCCAGUGCCGAAAGGGAAGCUGUUAAGUCCGCCGCCUGGGAAGUACGGUCGCAAGACUGAAACUU
This 757-nucleotide ribosomal RNA is filed under the name uncultured archaeon. Its description in RNAcentral is "bacterial SSU rRNA". It matches the Rfam family "Archaeal small subunit ribosomal RNA", at positions 102 to 857 of the family's 1478-position model. The record is from RNAcentral.